AUUGAACGCUGGCGGCAGGCCUAACACAUGCAAGUCGAGCGCGCGGCGGACGGGUGAGUAAUGUCUGGGAAACUGCCUGAUGGAGGGGGAUAACUAUUGUAAACGGUAUCUAAUAUCGCAUACCAUCAGAUCUGCCCAGGUGGGAUUAGCUAGUAGGUGGGGUAACGGCUCACCUCGGCGACGCGCCCGAGCUGGUCUGAGAGGAUGACCAGCCAAACUGGAACUGAGACACGGUCCAUACUCCUACGGGAGGCAGCAGUGGGGAAUAUUGCACAAUGGGCGCAAGCCUGAUGCAGCCAUGCCGCGUGUGUGAAGAAGGCCUUCGGGUUGUAAAGCACUUUCAGCGGGGAGGCGUUACCCGCAGAAGAAGCACCGGCUAACUCCGUGCCAGCAGCCGCGGUAAUAC
RNAcentral lists this ribosomal RNA (406 nucleotides) under uncultured bacterium. RNAcentral's name for it is "partial 16S ribosomal RNA". It matches the Rfam family "Bacterial small subunit ribosomal RNA", at positions 30 to 526 of the family's 1533-position model. The record is from RNAcentral.